UAGAAGAAAAUUUNGGUGCAAGCAUCGUGU
Molecule: non-coding RNA, 30 nt
Filed under: Mus musculus (house mouse)
Lineage: Eukaryota; Metazoa; Chordata; Mammalia; Rodentia; Muridae
Source: RNAcentral